Molecule: long non-coding RNA, 1478 nt
Organism: Numida meleagris (helmeted guineafowl)
Lineage: Eukaryota; Metazoa; Chordata; Aves; Galliformes; Numididae
Exons: 3
Source: RefSeq, a predicted model, not a curated record
UCCUUGGGAUGGAUUUUUUAUGCAUGAAAUCCUCAAGAUUCUGCUAUUUGUUGUAUUUCAUGUUGUGUCUUUACUUCCAUCAAUUGUUGAAAAUGUUUGCAAAGACAGCAAGAAAUUUCAGCAGAGGAAAUGUGAAAGAGCUGCUGGAGCAGGAAAGGGCUGUUGCCAGUUGCAGGAAAGGCAGAUUAAUACAGGUCAUUUGUCCUGUGCUGACUUUCAGAGCUGUUGUUACUGCCUGUUCUGCUGUGGGUGCAUUCGCAUUGUUUCAUGAAGAGAAUGCAAAGAGGACAAUGAAAAGCCUUGUCUGAAGGAUAACACUUACAAUUUCCCUAUCAGUUUGAACCAAAUCACAGACCUUACAGAGAAAAUCUGGUGUGUUGAAGAAGUCAGUAUAUUUUUCAAACUUUUCAUUGUAUAAACAAGACCCAAAGCCAAACCCAGAGGAAGUUCAUGAAAAUGUGCCAUGUAAAUCCAGAAGAAAAAUGUUUUACCAUUUACAAAAGGCAGAGCUAUUUGCUUUUUUUCCAGCUACUGACAAGUCAUUGCCUGUUUUAAGCAUGGAAUUUUGGUGGAGUGGAUCUAGACUUCUCACAAUGGCUAUACCUUCCUUGGGAGACACAUGGUCUAAAAUUCAACAUUCUACCUUUGCGUAUGUCCUGCGGGGCGAGAGCUGUUUCUUGCUGUCCAAAUAAAUAAAUAAAUAAAUAACCUUAAUUCUUAAAAAUAACUUCUUAAAAGUAACUGAAGAUGUGUUGCUGGCUACCAGAUAGUAAAACCGUUUAAAUUCUUCUUCAUAGUAUAAGAUUAGACAAAGGACACCUUGGGUUUGUAUAGUUAUCCAUGCAUUGUACUCUACCAGCUCGUUCUUGGUCUUGGUUUUGGGUGAUGAUUUCAGAUCACGCUGAAGGAGCUGACAGUGCCCAACAAGACCAUUGGUUUGACAGUGUCCUUUCCACAACUUUUGUUAAAAUGAGCCAUUCAAAGGGUGUUGCAUCACCAAACGAGGUUCAUUAGAACACAAACUAGGAGCAGUGCUAUCCAAGAAAGGUUUAAACAGUAGGGCAUAAAUAGGUUCAUCCUUGUUCACUGUUCUUGCAGAUGGGUCUGUGCCCACAGUCUUGGUCAGUCUGGCCGGUUUGGGUGCCUUUUGGAGCUCUGCUAUCCCCUGGAGCCAUGGGGACAUUGCCGUCUCUGGGGCAAGGUGAUGUUGCUCCCCCUGGUUUUCUCAGGAGUCUCUGGGUAUCUCCAAGGACAGGCUGUCAUCCUCUUUGGCUGACUGUCCAUCAAGGUGACCCUUCUUUAGAGAAGAAACAUAUCUUAUCAGACAACAGGAGCCACCUUCUGUGCUACCCACCUAUGCCUAACUAUGGUUCAUGAAGUGCCAAUGAAAUGCAAGCAGAUAAAGCAAAUGCUGCCCAUCACAGGAAGUAGCAUUGCCACGAUGUGGGGCCUUCUUUCCCUCCGUGUUUAUGUGUGUG